This 140-nucleotide ribosomal RNA is filed under the name Pteropus alecto (black flying fox). The record is from RNAcentral. Lineage: Eukaryota; Metazoa; Chordata; Mammalia; Chiroptera; Pteropodidae.
GUCUAUGGUCAUGCCACCCUGAACAAACCCGAUCCCAUCUGAUUUUUGGAAGCUAAGCAGGGUCGGGCCUGGUUAGUAACAGUUGGGUCUGGUUAGUACUUGCAUGGGAGACCACUCAGGAAGACCAGGUGCCGUAGGUG